Molecule: ribosomal RNA, 1270 nt
Filed under: Pleosporales sp. CBS 536.93
Lineage: Eukaryota; Fungi; Ascomycota; Dothideomycetes; Pleosporales
Description: eukaryotic LSU rRNA
Rfam family: Eukaryotic large subunit ribosomal RNA
Source: RNAcentral
CAACAGCUCAAAUUUGAAAUCUGGCUCUUUCAGGGUCCGAGUUGUAAUUUGCAGAGGGCGCUUUGGCGUUGGCAGCGGUCCAAGUUCUUUGGAACAGGACGUCACAGAGGGUGAGAAUCCCGUACGUGGUCGCUAGCCUUCGCCGUGUAAAGCCCCUUCGACGAGUCGAGUUGUUUGGGAAUGCAGCUCUAAAUGGGAGGUAAAUUUCUUCUAAAGCUAAAUACCGGCCAGAGACCGAUAGCGCACAAGUAGAGUGAUCGAAAGAUGAAAAGCACUUUGGAAAGAGAGUCAAAUAGCACGUGAAAUUGUUGAAAGGGAAGCGCUUGCAGCCAGACUUGCCUGUAGUUGCUUAUCUGGACUUUUGUCCGGUGCACUCUUCUGCGGGCAGGCCAGCAUCAGUUUGGGCGGUUGGAUAAAGGUCUCUGUCAUGUACCUCCUUUCGGGGAGGCCUUAUAGGGGAGACGACAUGCAACCAGCCUGGACUGAGGUCCGCGCAUCUGCUAGGAUGCUGGCGUAAUGGCUGUAAGCGGCCCGUCUUGAAACACGGACCAAGGAGUCUAACAUCUAUGCGAGUGUUUGGGUGUCAAGCCCAGACGCGUAAUGAAAGUGAACGGAGGUGGGAACCCUUUGGGUGCACCAUCGACCGAUCCUGAUGUCUUCGGAUGGAUUUGAGUAAGAGCAUGGCUGUUGGGACCCGAAAGAUGGUGAACUAUGCUUGAAUAGGGUGAAGCCAGAGGAAACUCUGGUGGAGGCUCGCAGCGGUUCUGACGUGCAAAUCGAUCGUCAAAUUUGGGCAUAGGGGCGAAAGACUAAUCGAACUAUCUAGUAGCUGGUUCCUGCCGAAGUUUCCCUCAGGAUAGCAGUAACGUAUUCAGUUUUAUGAGGUAAAGCGAAUGAUUAGAGGCCUGGGGGUUGAAACAACCUUCACCUAUUCUCAAACUUUAAAUAUGUAAGAAGUCCUUGUUACUUGAUUGAACGUGGACACUUGAAUGUACCGUUACUAGUGGGCCAUUUUUGGUAAGCAGAACUGGCGAUGCGGGAUGAACCGAACGCGGGGUUAAGGUGCCAGAAUAUACGCUCAUCAGACACCACAAAAGGUGUUAGUUCAUCUAGACAGCAGGACGGUGGCCAUGGAAGUCGGAAUCCGCUAAGGAGUGUGUAACAACUCACCUGCCGAAUGAACUAGCCCUGAAAAUGGAUGGCGCUCAAGCGUAUUACCCAUACCCCGCCGCCGGGGCAGAAUUUAUGCCCCGGCGAGUAGGCAGGCGUG